Molecule: ribosomal RNA, 327 nt
Filed under: Triticum aestivum (bread wheat)
Lineage: Eukaryota; Viridiplantae; Streptophyta; Magnoliopsida; Poales; Poaceae
Description: partial small subunit ribosomal RNA
Source: RNAcentral
AUGGCUUCCUCUGCAGCCACCGUAACCUCUGGUCUCUCUGGCCAAGUCACGGAAAAGCUCUCCCGCACCAACUUCAUCCUCUGGCGCACCCAAAUCACACCGCAGAUCAGAGGAGCGGGAUUCUUCGGGUAUGUUGAUGGAACAAACCCGGAGCCGGCAAAGCAAGUUGUCGUCAAGGACAAAGAGGGGAAGGAGGAAACCAUCCCAAACCCCCUCCACGCCGUCUGGAUCCGAGAAGAUCAGCAGGUACUCGGCUAUCUGUUGAACAAUCUCACCAAAGAAGUUCUAGUGCAGGUUACCUCCAUCGUCCAUGCACAUGAACUCUAG